Long non-coding RNA from Esox lucius (northern pike), 6383 nucleotides. RefSeq annotates it as pleckstrin homology-like domain, family B, member 2a. The record is from RefSeq and is a predicted model, not a curated record. NCBI's taxonomy places the organism in Eukaryota, Metazoa, Chordata, Actinopteri, Esociformes, Esocidae. The transcript is spliced from 17 exons.
UUAGUCAUUGCUCUGGGGAUGUGCUUUAUCAGGGUGGGUUGCAGUUACAGCACUCCCAUCCUAGGUAUUUUCUCCCUCAUUUUAUGAAGUUGGCGAGUCUGCGACCACCCAAAUCAGGGAAGCAGACUUGCGCAGUCCCCAGGCUUGUCUGAGAAUGGGGAGGAGUGUCUGAGGACUCAGUCAAGGUAUCAGCGGGCAGCGUCUCUUUGCCUUUGUCAUGCUAAUCCCAGGCAGAGGAGUUACGUCCAUUACCAGCGCUCAACAGUUUGAAUGGGACAGCACACAAAGGGUGCACUAUCUGUCUGGGUAAAUCCUAUUUCCUCCGCUUCAACCACCCUGAGGAGGCCAGGCGAAUGAAGAGCAUGUUGCCUGUCACCACCAUGGGCUACGGCUCUGACUGCGUGAAGAUGGAGCACGGUAAUGGCAGCUCGGUGGGCGGCGCCGUGAUGCGAGGUCCCCGGUCCAAGGCGGAGCUGCAGGACCUGAUGGAGGCUCUGCAGCGCCGGAAGAGCGCCCUGGAGGCCAGCCUGAGGGCCAGCGCCGAAUCUACGCGCGCCUACCUCAGCCUGCCCCCUCCCAGCCCCCUGUCCCCUGCGCCCCCCAGGACCUCUGAACGCCCGUCCUCCUCCAGGGGCCUCUCGUACGCGAGCGGCGGCGGUAGCGUGCCCCCCUCUCCUCGCCAGGGGGAGCGCCCCCUCAGCCCCGGGCCGCCGUAUUCGCGCGCGCGCCACCAGUCACAGGACAGCCUGCUCCUCUCCGGCUCCUCCUCCGCCGACAGUCGGCGCCUCCCCGCGGCCAGCUCUCUGCUGUCCAUGUGGAACGGUUCCUCUUCCUGCGGCGAGGCUGUGCCCCGCCCCCCCCGGGGUCACAGCGGGGCGGCCAGCAUGCCCUCCAGUCCGCGUCUAGGCCGCAGGCUCUACGCCCAGGGCCGCAACGGGGACGGCGGUAUAGACCCGGCCCCACGCCAGAGGAAGUACUCCACGGGCUCCCUCAACGGCCUCGGAUCCGCCCACAGCCUCUCCCUGCCCCGCCUCCACCGGUCCACGGACUCCCCAGCAUUGUCCCUGCCCCCGCGCCGCUCCGCUGGCUCCCAGAGGGGGGAGAAGGCCUCCUCGUCCCUGUUCUCCAAGCCCAGGCGCAGCCUGUCUUCCCUGGAGCGACCGCCGGACGUUACGGUGCCAGCCACGGCCAGCGUGCCGGGAACCCCCCGCCGGGCCAGUCUGGCCUCCCUGUCCUCACUGGGCUGUGAGCUGGAGAGAGGCGGCCUGAGGGGCUCCUCGCCCUGUCUGGACCUGGGCCUGGGGGAGAGGAGGCUGAGCUUCGGGAAGGGAGGGCUGGGGCCGGGGUCGAGGAGGGGUAGCAUCAGCUCCCUGAACGGGAAGGAGGAGCUCCGAGACUACCACAAGCACCAGCGAGAGGAGAGGCUCAGGGAACAGGAGGUGCAGAGACUGGAGCGCCAGCGUCUGGAAACCAUCCUGUCCCUAUGUACUGAACUGGGCCGGGUGGAGCGUGACCCGGGUGGCUCCGCCGUCUCCGACCUGCAGAAGAUCAACAAGGAGCUGGAGAAGCUGCAGGUGUCCGAUGAUGAGUCUGUGUUCUCCGAUUCCCCUGGAAGUGUCAGUGGCGCCGCCCCGGAUGGCGCCUUUGCCACCAAGGCCCGGGAGUACCAGCUUGCGGAGGAGCGGCAGGUCCGGCAGCAUCGUCACAGGGAGACCAGGGCCCAGUCCCCUGCUGCCAGCCUGCGCAGUAGUGUCUCCUCACCAUCGCCUCACCACAGAGCCAAGGUAGCACCUCACCACAGAGCCAAUCAGCUCGCUGUGGAGGACGUGCAUCUGAAACAGGAAGUGACCCGUAUUGAGGAGGAAAGGAUCCAGGUGCUGAACAACAUGGAGGAGCUGGAGCAGAAGAUCAAAGACCUGGACAACCAGAUGGAGGAGUCCAUCAGAGAGAUGGAGGUUGAGCGGGCUCUGUUGGAUGGGGAGCAGGACUCUGAGAUGGCCCUGCUACAGAGGGAGAAGGAGGUACUGGAACAACUCAAUGAGAAGAUUGGCGGCCUCGACAAGACAGUAGUCACUGACAAGUCAAAGGGCCUGCUGGAUGCUGAGCGGGCAAAGGUAGAGAGGCUGGAGGAGUUGGUGUCUGAGCGGAGGACCCAGCUGGACACCUGUCCCGAGGCACUCGCCGAGCAGCUCCAACAGCAGCUGGCCAGGGAUGUGGAGGCACUGGAGACUGAGAGGAAGCGUUUCGAGGAUCUGGAGUUCCAGCAGCUGGAGAGAGAGAGUGGUCAGGACGAGGAGAAGGAUGGUCAGACCCAGCGUCUGCUCAGAGAGAUAGCCGACUACCAGCGGAGCACGGUCACGCGCAAGGAGAGACUCCUAACCCUGAAGAAGCAGUCCACACAAAUCACCCAGCAGGCUCAGCGGGAAAAGGACAGCUUCCUGAAAGAGAAGAACAACCUGCUCCUGAUGCUUCAGAGGGAGAGGGAGAACUUGGCCGGUCUGGAGAGGAAGUAUUCCGAGCUGACUGGAGGACAGGCUUUUCCUAACAACCCUGUCACCAUGAAAGAGCACUUCCGCUCGCUGGAGGACAGGAGGCGGGGCAGUAAGGAGAACUCCUCCCUUCUCAGCGACACCUUGCCCCGUAAGAGGAACCAGCCACCCCUCAGCCACUACAACAGCUCCACGCUGGGCCGCGGCAGCCUGUCCCCUAAGGCCCACCUGCCCCUCUCCCAAAGUUCCAGCUGUGGCAGCGUCAUUCCCCGAGGCCUCUCCGUCUCUCCCAGAGACCUGGAAACCCGACGCCUGCUCAAGGCAGGCCACAGCCAGCUGUACAUGAGUGAGGACAGACAGCGACUAGUUGACCUGUGCAACAGGACCUUCUCAGAGUCCAACGUCUUCCUCGAGCCCUUCCACUACACAGAUAACGGCCAGGCCUUCGACACGCUCAGCGUGGACAGCUCGGACAGCAUGGAGACCAGCAUCUCGGCCUGCUCCCCAGACAAUAUCUCCAGCGCCAGCACAUCUAAUGUAGCAAAGAUUGAGGAGAUGGAGCGCUUGUUGCGAGAGGCCCAGGCGGAUAAACAGCGACUCCUUGAGCACAGGGAGCGUGAGAUGGAGGUGCGCAGGCAAGCCCUGGAGGAGGAGCGGAGGAGGAGGGAGGACUUGGAGAAGAGGCUGCAGGAGGAGACCAGCAGGAGGCAGAAAAUGAUCGAGAGAGAGGUGAAGCUCCGUGAGAAACAAAGAGCACAGGCCCGUCCACUGACACGCUACCUCCCACAGAGGAAGGACGACUUUGACCUCCACGGCCACAUCGAGGCUGCUGGACACAACCCAGACAACUGCUACCACCUGGCCAUCACAGAUAAAACCUGCAGAGGGUUCCUGGUCAAGAUGGGGGGCAAAAUCAAGACCUGGAAAAAACGCUGGUUUGUCUUCGACCGAAACCGCAGGACCCUGUCCUACUAUGCUGACAAACAUGAGGCCAAGAUGAAGGGGGUCAUAUACUUCCAAGCCAUAGAAGAGGUUUACUACGACCAUUUAAAGAACGCGCACAAGAGCCCCAACCAGUCUCUGACGUUCAGUGUGAAGACCCAUGACAGGGUGUAUUACAUGGUGGCUCCCUCACCUGAAGCUAUGAGGAUCUGGAUGGAUGUCAUAGUCACGGGGGCGGAGGGAUACAUGCAUUUCAUGGUUUAAACCCCCCCCCACACCCAACCAUGGUCGGGGAUUCUGACCACAACAAGCCCAGAUCCUAACUGCAGGACGAUACGCUGACUAGACAACAGGAAAUAUCCCCUCCUACAGUCCCUUAGGUGCCACAAAAGACAGCAACAUUGUGACUGGUCAGCUUUGGAAAUCUGUGAGCUGAACACAAUACCCUCCUGGUUUUACCGUGGUAACCACUUUAAUUUCUGUUUUCGGAGCCCGGCUCGUCUGCUCCGGGAUUCAGCUGAUGUGAUGGCAAUCUAAUACAGCCACACAGGGAGGACUUCCUCUGGAUGUUCUCAAAAGAUGCUGAUAUGGAUUUUAGUAGCUUUUAGUCUGGAGGAGAAUCUUGGCACAGGGUUUACCCACAUGCUAUUUUGGGACUACUAAUGGCACAGAAUUUCUAUCAGUGGUGUAUUGUGGACUCUUAUUGGCUCUGAGAUUUUACUGCCCAUUCAGGAUAAGCCACUCCAUUUUAGGCAGUGAGGUUGCACACCGAAUCUCACUACAGUAUAUAUUUUCUAUUAGUGUAACUGAAAAUUUUAAAUCUGUGAGUGUAAUCAUAGGAUUGAGACUGUCAUUGGAAUUAUACUGUGGUACUAACGCCCUUCUCUGGAUAAAGACCGGAUUGAUUAAAGAAACUCAAGCUGCCCCGUUCUUUUCAUCAUCCCAAAUUGAACUGGCUGUUGAUUGGUCCACCCAAGCUCCCCAUCUGUUUCCCUUCCAGCUGGACAGUCUCAGUGUUGCUUUAGUAUGUUCCGUCUCUCUGGUGCCAAACCUUCUAGACACUUGUCUGGUACUUGCUCGGACUGACAGGACAGUACUGCCCCCUGUUGGAAGAGCCAAGGCACUGCACGUGGCUGGUACUUUGUCUUAAAUGUCUCACUGAGGCUCAGGAACUGAAUGCCAGAUAACCCUCAAACACCGGAGACUGGAAGGGUGUGUAUCUCACUCAGCAUGUACCAAAUAUACACACCUUUGUAAAAAAGAAAAAUGCACCUUAAGUCUCCAUAAAAGGGCACUUCCUGGUUGAAGGCGUUGACAAUCAGUGUCUACCUUAUAUGUCUGCCGUCCAGCUAAAUACGUUGGCAGAGCAUUACAGGGCACUUAGAGUAACUGGUUUAAAUUAAAUAUAGUAUUAGUGGAAUAUGGCACUGUAUAAUUUGCCUUUAUGUAAGUAGCGUCUUAUGAGGCUGUGUAAUAUCGGGGUGCUUGAGGGCACAGCUCCUCAAUCAAUGGGCUCAUUAAUAUGUGAAUGCUUUUAAAGGCCUCACAGUGAUUGUGUUGAAUGACCCUGAUAUAUUGUCACCAGCAGAUGUCCUUAGAACAGUGAAGCUUGUUGUUAUCUGCUACAGAGUCACUGUAAGACCUGUGCAGGACCACGAUUCUGCUACUAAAACGACCUUUUCAGGGUAACAAAUAAUGGAACAUUAAUUUAUAUUGGUUUCAUUUGUAAACUGUUUCUUGUGUUUAACAAAUGUAUGAAUACGUGGAGGUACUGUAUCUGCAUGCUGAACAUAUAAUGGUGCCAUCUGUGGUAAACCAAAGAGUAAUGUAAUAUUCAGUGUUAUGGGGAAGUGUUAUGGAGUCAAAAAAUGAAAAAAGGUACCUAUCUGACCAGUUAUUUUAGAUAACUUUCAAUGGGAUUAAAAUAUUCAUGAAAGUUUGGAGAUAGCUCCUUCACUUACCAUGAGCUCACAGCUAGUGGACUGUCAAAAAGAUGAACAGGGGUGCAUACAAGAUAUAGGAAGUUCCCUGACAGCCACUGGUAGUCGUUCUUAGCCAGGACCCUCCAGAACCCUUUCAUCACGGUUGGUUCCCCAUCAGAGACAGUAAAGUAACUGAGACUGCAACCUCGAUGACACAGACCCAUUCAUUUUUUUCAAAAGAAAUAUACCUGUGAAAUGUCUCUAUUCUGCGUGUUGUCCAAACUGGAUAUGCAAAUAAUUUGUUUCUGUCUUACAGUGGGCUGUAUGGGUCUUGUACUGUCUCAGGCUCCUAUGUCUUCAUCACCAUUUUCAGACCGGAUAGGACCCAUUCUACAGAGACUAGUUCGGUAUGCUAGUGUGCAAAACAUUGCUGAAAAAUGAACGAAAACCUGUAUUAAAACCCAGGUGUGAUUUACAGGAUAUUCAAAAUCAAAAUACUCUGUUAGUGGUUUGAUGUGUUGUGAGGCAUUAUCAGAGACGGUACACAACAGACACCUGAAAGUGACAUGACCCCUAACUUGGGUUCACCCCGUCUGAACUGCAGAGGCGGUAUGCCGACCAGGGGGAUUAAAAAAAGCUUUCGGUCUGUGUUUUUGUCUGUUGUCUCGCAUUCUCUCUCUGGCAUCACAGUUUUACCAGCGGGUUCUCUAUUAAGCUAGUUUAAUAACCCAAACUUUUAGGUUACCUGUUUUAGACAACGCUUUCUCACAGGGAAUAUUUCACAAGCCAUCUCUGACCAGUUGUCAUCUGAGCGAUGAUCCAGUUAUUCUCAACCUUUGUGACAGUACACAAUAUUGGUUCACUUCAGGUAUUUACCAUGUGUCUCCCAAGGAAACGAUCAGACUCACACUUUUAUGAGUUUUUAAUAUACAUUUGGUAUUUUUAUAUGAACAAUGGUAUUUCAAAUGUUACUGUUAAUCCUGCAUGUUUUUUAUACAAAUGUAAGAAUAAAUAAUAUACUGUACGUUUA